AUUGAACGCUGGCGGCAUGCUUUACACAUGCAAGUCGAACGGUAACACGCCUCCUUGUGCUGACGAGUGGCUAACGGAUGGGUAAUUCAUCGGUACGUACCCAGUCUGUGGGGGUGGCUAGCCGGACGAAAGCCUGAUACAUCAUGCAAACUAUGGAUGGAAGAGAGCGGGCGACCUUCCUCCCUCGCGUUGAACGGCCGGUCGAUGGCUGAUUAGGUAGUGGGUGGGGUACAGGCCCACCAAGCCGACGAUCUGUAGCUGGUCUGAGAGGACAACCAGCCACACUGGGACUGAGACACGGCCCAGACUCCUACGGGAGGCAGCAGUGGGGAAUUUUGGACAAUGGGCGCAAGCCUGAUCCAGCAAUGCCGCGUGCAGGAAGAAGGCCUUCGGGUUGUAAACUGCUUUUGUACGGAACGAAACGGCUCUGGCUAAUACCCGGGGCGAAUGACGGUACCGUAAGAAUAAGCACCGGCUAACUACGUG
RNAcentral lists this ribosomal RNA (486 nucleotides) under uncultured bacterium. Its description in RNAcentral is "partial 16S ribosomal RNA". It matches the Rfam family "Bacterial small subunit ribosomal RNA", at positions 30 to 507 of the family's 1533-position model. The record is from RNAcentral.